UACGGAGGAUGCGAGCGUUAUCCGGAUUUAUUGGGUUUAAAGGGUGCGUAGGCGGUCCGUUAAGUCAGCGGUAAAAUUGCGGGGCUCAACCCCGUCGAGCCGUUGAAACUGUCAGACUUGAGUUGGCGAGAAGUACGCGGAAUGCGCGGUGUAGCGGUGAAAUGCAUAGAUAUCGCGCAGAACUCCGAUUGCGAAGGCAGCGUACCGGCGCCACACUGACGCUGAGGCACGAAAGCGUGGGUAUCGAACAGG
RNAcentral lists this ribosomal RNA (252 nucleotides) under uncultured bacterium. Its description in RNAcentral is "partial 16S ribosomal RNA". It matches the Rfam family "Bacterial small subunit ribosomal RNA", at positions 524 to 776 of the family's 1533-position model. The record is from RNAcentral.